Molecule: long non-coding RNA, 659 nt
Filed under: Mytilus galloprovincialis (Mediterranean mussel)
Lineage: Eukaryota; Metazoa; Mollusca; Bivalvia; Mytilida; Mytilidae
Source: RNAcentral
UUACGGACGGUCAGUCUUUAUCAAUGACAAACUCUUUAAUAUCAGAUUGCCUGAUCCCUACUGGGUGCAAUUAGUGGCUGUCAAAAUCAUGUUUAUCCGCCAUUCUCUCAGUCGAUUUCCGUAUUCUACAUUGUUUAUUACCCUUCCGGAGAACCUGAGAUCACCUUCAGAUUUUGGUGGGGUUCAUGUUGCUCAUCUUUAGUUUUCUAUGUUGUAUUUUGUGCACUGUUCUUUUGUCUCUUUCUGUUUUAGUCAUAGCGUUGUCAGUUUUUCGAUCUAUGAAUUUGACUGUCCCGUUGGUAUCUUUCAACUGCACAUUCACCAGUCAACAUACAACCAUUUUUAGUCUUGUAUUAUUUUAAUUUUAGUUUCUUGUGUACAAUUUGGAAAUUAGUAUGGCGUUCAUUAUCACUGAACUAGUAUAUAUUUGUUUAGGGGCCAGCUGAAGGACGCCUCCGGGUGCUGGAAUUUCUCGCUACAUUGAAGACCUGUUGGUGACCUUCUGCUGUUGUUUUUUUCUAUGGUCGGGUUGUUGUCUCUUAGGCACAUUCCCCAUUUCCAUUCUCAAUUUUAUUACCAUUUGACUUUUAACCAAAAUUAUUAUAGAGUCGAAAUUUUUAUCAGUCAUACAUCAAGCACACUUAUGUGUUGUUUAUUUC